AGCAGCGUGGCGCAGCGGAAGCGUGCUGGGCCCAUAACCCAGAGGUCCCUGGAUCAAAACCAGGCGCUGCUA
RNAcentral lists this transfer RNA (72 nucleotides) under Saccoglossus kowalevskii. Its description in RNAcentral is "tRNA-Met". It matches the Rfam family "tRNA". From Rfam's summary of the family: Transfer RNA (tRNA) molecules are approximately 80 nucleotides in length. Their secondary structure includes four short double-helical elements and three loops (D, anti-codon, and T loops). Lineage: Eukaryota; Metazoa; Hemichordata; Enteropneusta; Harrimaniidae. The record is from RNAcentral.